This 2325-nucleotide ribosomal RNA is filed under the name Salmonella enterica subsp. enterica serovar Typhimurium. RNAcentral's name for it is "partial 23S ribosomal RNA". It matches the Rfam family "Bacterial large subunit ribosomal RNA", at positions 578 to 2802 of the family's 2925-position model. Lineage: Bacteria; Pseudomonadati; Pseudomonadota; Gammaproteobacteria; Enterobacterales; Enterobacteriaceae. The record is from RNAcentral.
CACAGGUUUACCUGUGUGACUGCGUACCUUUUGUAUAAUGGGUCAGCGACUUAUAUUCUGUAGCAAGGUUAACCGAAUAGGGGAGCCGGAGGGAAACCGAGUCUUAAUUGGGCGUUAAGUUGCAGGGUAUAGACCCGAAACCCGGUGAUCUAGCCAUGGGCAGGUUGAAGGUUGGGUAACACUAACUGGAGGACCGAACCGACUAAUGUUGAAAAAUUAGCGGAUGACCUGUGGCUGGGGGUGAAAGGCCAAUCAAACCGGGAGAUAGCUGGUUCUCCCCGAAAGCUAUUUAGGUAGCGCCUCGUGAAUUCAUCUCCGGGGGUAGAGCACUGUUUCGGCUAGGGGGCCAUCCCGGCUUACCAACCCGAUGCAAACUGCGAAUACCGGAGAAUGUUAUCACGGGAGACACACGGCGGGUGCUAACGUCCGUCGUGAAGAGGGAAACAACCCAGACCGCCAGCUAAGGUCCCAAAGUCAUGGUUAAGUGGGAAACGAUGUGGGAAGGCCCAGACAGCCAGGAUGUUGGCUUAGAAGCAGCCAUCAUUUAAAGAAAGCGUAAUAGCUCACUGGUCGAGUCGGCCUGCGCGGAAGAUGUAACGGGGCUAAACCAUGCACCGAAGCUGCGGCAGCGAACGUAUCACCCAAGACAACUUUACGGAGUUGACGAUUGACGGAGCGAAGCGACGUCAAAGCGUUCAUUAAAGUCGAGUUGGCUUAGGGAUACGUUCGUUGGGUAGGGGAGCGUUCUGUAAGCCUGUGAAGGUGUGUCGUGAGGCAUGCUGGAGGUAUCAGAAGUGCGAAUGCUGACAUAAGUAACGAUAAAGCGGGUGAAAAGCCCGCUCGCCGGAAGACCAAGGGUUCCUGUCCAACGUUAAUCGGGGCAGGGUGAGUCGACCCCUAAGGCGAGGCCGAAAGGCGUAGUCGAUGGGAAACGGGUUAAUAUUCCCGUACUUGGUGUUACUGCGAAGGGGGGACGGAGAAGGCUAUGUUGGCCGGGCGACGGUUGUCCCGGUUUAAGCGUGUAGGUGUGUGUUCCAGGUAAAUCCGGUUCACUUUAACACUGAGGCGUGACGACGAGGCACUACGGUGCUGAAGCAACAAAUGCCCUGCUUCCAGGAAAAGCCUCUAAGCAUCAGGUAACAUCAAAUCGUACCCCAAACCGACACAGGUGGUCAGGUAGAGAAUACCAAGGCGCUUGAGAGAACUCGGGUGAAGGAACUAGGCAAAAUGGUGCCGUAACUUCGGGAGAAGGCACGCUGACACGUAGGUGAAGUGAUUUACUCAUGGAGCUGAAGUCAGUCGAAGAUACCAGCUGGCUGCAACUGUUUAUUAAAAACACAGCACUGUGCAAACACGAAAGUGGACGUAUACGGUGUGACGCCUGCCCGGUGCCGGAAGGUUAAUUGAUGGGGUCAGCGCAAGCGAAGCUCCUGAUCGAAGCCCCGGUAAACGGCGGCCGUAACUAUAACGGUCCUAAGGUAGCGAAAUUCCUUGUCGGGUAAGUUCCGACCUGCACGAAUGGCGUAAUGAUGGCCAGGCUGUCUCCACCCGAGACUCAGUGAAAUUGAACUCGCUGUGAAGAUGCAGUGUACCCGCGGCAAGACGGAAAGACCCCGUGAACCUUUACUAUAGCUUGACACUGAACAUUGAGCCUUGAUGUGUAGGAUAGGUGGGAGGCUUUGAAGUGUGGACGCCAGUCUGCAUGGAGCCGACCUUGAAAUACCACCCUUUAAUGUUUGAUGUUCUAACGUGGACCCGUAAUCCGGGUUGCGGACAGUGUCUGGUGGGUAGUUUGACUGGGGCGGUCUCCUCCUAAAGAGUAACGGAGGAGCACGAAGGUUGGCUAAUCCUGGUCGGACAUCAGGAGGUUAGUGCAAUGGCAUAAGCCAGCUUGACUGCGAGCGUGACGGCGCGAGCAGGUGCGAAAGCAGGUCAUAGUGAUCCGGUGGUUCUGAAUGGAAGGGCCAUCGCUCAACGGAUAAAAGGUACUCCGGGGAUAACAGGCUGAUACCGCCCAAGAGUUCAUAUCGACGGCGGUGUUUGGCACCUCGAUGUCGGCUCAUCACAUCCUGGGGCUGAAGUAGGUCCCAAGGGUAUGGCUGUUCGCCAUUUAAAGUGGUACGCGAGCUGGGUUUAGAACGUCGUGAGACAGUUCGGUCCCUAUCUGCCGUGGGCGCUGGAGAACUGAGGGGGGCUGCUCCUAGUACGAGAGGACCGGAGUGGACGCAUCACUGGUGUUCGGGUUGUCAUGCCAAUGGCACUGCCCGGUAGCUAAAUGCGGAAGAGAUAAGUGCUGAAAGCAUCUAAGCACGAAACUUGCCCCGA